AGAUUGAACGCUGGCGGCAGGCCUAACACAUGCAAGUCGAGCGGCAGCACGGGUACUUGUACCUGGUGGCGAGCGGCGGACGGGUGAGUAAUGCCUAGGAAUCUGCCUGGUAGUGGGGGAUAACGCUCGGAAACGGACGCUAAUACCGCAUACGUCCUACGGGAGAAAGCAGGGGACCUUCGGGCCUUGCGCUAUCAGAUGAGCCUAGGUCGGAUUAGCUAGUUGGUGAGGUAAUGGCUCACCAAGGCGACGAUCCGUAACUGGUCUGAGAGAUGAUCAGUCACACUGGAACUGAGAC
RNAcentral lists this ribosomal RNA (298 nucleotides) under uncultured soil bacterium. Its description in RNAcentral is "partial 16S ribosomal RNA". It matches the Rfam family "Bacterial small subunit ribosomal RNA", at positions 26 to 325 of the family's 1533-position model. The record is from RNAcentral.